CACCGUAAGGUCAUAUUUCACUAAUGAAUCAAAGAAAAAAUGAGUUUGCAUGAAGAAAAUUCUUCUUUUUUAACGUUGUUUACAAUUACAUACAUUGUUUGUUUGUUGUGAUAUUAAUUUCAUGAGACUUCAACACUUGCAUUAAUGGUACAGAUGUAUAACCCCCCACAUACACACACACACAUGUGCGCUUGUUUUGUGCUAUUCACCCGUACGUUCAUUCUUGACUGUUUUAAAGUGUUUUAAAGUGAAGCCCGGUCGCUGUCUGCGGAGUUGUGCUUCACUUGAGCUGUAAAUUAGCUAAUUAGCUGCAUAAUUGGCCGAAUUAAAGCUCCAAUCAGUGAAGCUUUUGCUGUCAGAGGUCCUCCAGGUAACUUAAAUCAGCUGUCGCUCGAGACUCUGAAAGGAAGACAAAUUUGCCCAGCCGAGCGAGUAAUGACCCGAGCCUCGAGUAAGGAGGUCUGAGGAAAGCAAACAAAAGAGCUUUGAUUAGCGCAAAGGCCUCUUCAUACUCUGCAGAAGAGCAGCUUCGUUACUGUGUGUUUUCCUCUCAGAUGCAUCCGUCUGCUGCCUGCUGUGAGCUGGACGAGAUGCAUCAGGUCACCUGUGCUUCAGAUCACUCUUCAGACCUGUCUGUUGUUUUCAUUCUGUUCAACCCGAGGAGGAAUUUAUGCAGCCUUGGUCUGUCGAGCCCGAAAAAGGACAAGAAAUGUAUGACAUCAGAAGAUGUGAAAAACAGCACACAGAAGCAUCAGCUAAAUCCAGCCUGCCAUAUUAACUGGCCGAGAGGACAAGUGAAGCACUUAAUCUGCCAUCCUGAAUCGCGUGCAAACGAGCGGAUGGGUACCAAACUCCUGUCUGGAGCACAAGAGGGUGGAACGGGGCGUUCCUGGUGUCUAGCAGUGGUCGAUACUCACGCCAGGAGGACUGAAGGGUGCACCGCAGGCCGGCCGGCAUUAUGUGUGAAUGUUUGCAGCUGACGACACACACCGCUGCGGAUCUUUGAGUUCAUCCUCUGUGCUGCGCGAAAUCGAUGCCCGACGCUGCUUUGAAGAAACUCGUCAUGUGAAGACAACCAUUUGCAAAACCAGUUGAGCUGAGAGAGGACAGGAAGUUCUAAAUGAUGGCCAUUUUGAAAGCUUAAAAAAUUAUGCAAACGUAAUUGACAUUUCUGCAAACUUCAAUACAUUUCUUUAUUUUGUAGUUGGCAUGGCAUUGCAAAAACGUUCUCAC
Cyprinus carpio (common carp) is the source of this 1233-nucleotide long non-coding RNA. The record is from Ensembl. Lineage: Eukaryota; Metazoa; Chordata; Actinopteri; Cypriniformes; Cyprinidae.